CUGUGAUCAAAAGGCAAGGGGUUAUAAAUAGAACCUCCACACCAGACCAAAAACCCUAGCUGCCAGCCGCUCGCCGGAGAAGACGAACCAGAGGCCGACCGCCGCCACCCGCCGCCACUCGCCGCCGCACCGGGGAAAUUUUCGACCGCCGAUUGAGGUAAAUUUCAUACCCCCGACUCGUUUUUCCCCGCUGAUUCCUCCUAUGGCCAAAUCGAGGCCGAAAUCCUGGCCAAACGGCCGGAAUACGCGGCCGAAGCCCAGCAGCGCCGCCGCGCCCCCUCUCGGUUUUUGCCUCCGACGAGGCCCUUCCCGGCCUCCGUUCGAUGCAAUUUUUAUAUCACCGUGAUCACCAUUCUUUUCUCUACAGGUUGACUGGAGCCGAAUCACCAAAACACGAACCUCGCCGGAGAGCCGCUGCACCCGAGAGCGCCGCCGCCGGUAAGCUCCGUUUUUCCGUGAUUUUUUUGGCCCCCCGAGGGCCCUAGGGCUGUUUUCUGACAAGGACCAAUGCGAGUGUGGCCGAAUUCGGCCGAAAACGGCCGAAAACAGUCAACCCGAGGCGACUCGCCGCCGCCAGCGGCGGCGCCGUCGCCGGAGCACGGCGGAGCCGCCGUGCCGGAGUUGCGAUUUGGGCCGAAGGAGGCCCUGGGCCUAAUUUGGAUUUUUUUUGGAAUACGUGCAGGUACUGUUAGUGUGUUUCAGUUUCCCGGAAAAAAAUUCAGGGAAAAUUAGGGACAGCCUGCAGGCGCACUGUGAAUCGUAUUCGGAUCCCGAAAACAGGUAAGGACCCCUCACCCUAUUUCCUAUCACGGUAUUAAAGUUCAAAAUAAUAAAACGGUAUUUCUUGAAUUAACGCAUGUGUGAAAUUGCUUAAGGUUGCUAAUGGAGCCCGAGUCUAGUGUGAUUGAUGAUUUACUGUUAUUUGGCCUGUUUUACAGCUUUAAAUGCAUUAUGGGGUUUGAUGUGUUCAUUUUAUAGUUUCGAAUGCAUAUAUUACUGUUUUAUUAAUUAUGGGUUGAAUGACUGAAGAACUGAUACUGUAUGUUGUCUGUUCGGCAUG
RNAcentral lists this long non-coding RNA (1060 nucleotides) under Carica papaya (papaya). Its description in RNAcentral is "long non-coding RNA (CPAP_LNC015837)". Lineage: Eukaryota; Viridiplantae; Streptophyta; Magnoliopsida; Brassicales; Caricaceae. The record is from RNAcentral.